RNAcentral lists this ribosomal RNA (492 nucleotides) under uncultured bacterium. Its description in RNAcentral is "partial 16S ribosomal RNA". It matches the Rfam family "Bacterial small subunit ribosomal RNA", at positions 29 to 507 of the family's 1533-position model. The record is from RNAcentral.
AGUGAACGCUGGCGGUAGGCCUAACACAUGCAAGUCGAACGGCAGCACAGUAAGAGCUCGCUCUUACGGGUGGCGAGUGGCGGAUGGGUGAGGAAUACAUCGGAAUCUACUUUUUCUUGGGUGAUAACGUGGGGACACUUACGCUACUACCGAAUAUAACCUACGGGUGAAAGCAGGGGAUCUUCGGACCUUGGCUGAUUGAAUGAGCCGAUGUCGGAUUAGCUAGUUGGCGGGGUAAAGGCACACCAAGGCGACGAUCCGUAGCUGGUCUGAGAGGAUGAUCAGCCACACUGGAACUGAGACACGGUCCAGACUCCUACGGGAGGCAGCAGUGGGGAAUAUUGGACAAUGGGCGCAAGCCUGAUCCAGCCAUGCCGCGUGGGUGAAGAAGGUCUUCGGAUUGUAAAGCCCUUUUGUUGGGAAAGAAAAGCAGUAGGUUAAUACCCCGCUGUUCUGACGGUACCCAAAGAAUAAGCACCGGCUAACUUCGUG